UACGAAGGGGGCUAGCGUUGUUCGGAAUUACUGGGCGUAAAGGGUGCGUAGGCGGCUUCUUAAGUCUGGUGUGAAAUCUCCCGGCUCAACUGGGAGGGUGCGCCGGAUACUGAGGGGCUAGAGUGUGGGAGAGGAAAGUGGAAUUCCUGGUGUAGCGGUGAAAUGCGCAGAUAUCAGGAGGAACACCAAUAGCGAAGGCAGCUCGCUGGGACGUUACUGACACUGAGGCGCGAAAGCGUGGGGAGCGAACAGG
This 253-nucleotide ribosomal RNA is filed under the name uncultured bacterium. Its description in RNAcentral is "partial 16S ribosomal RNA". It matches the Rfam family "Bacterial small subunit ribosomal RNA", at positions 524 to 776 of the family's 1533-position model. The record is from RNAcentral.